Molecule: long non-coding RNA, 498 nt
Organism: Papilio machaon (common yellow swallowtail)
Lineage: Eukaryota; Metazoa; Arthropoda; Insecta; Lepidoptera; Papilionidae
Exons: 3
Source: RefSeq, a predicted model, not a curated record
CGUGUGCGCCGCCGCCGCCGCCGCUCUGCUGCGCCCCGCCGCCGCGGACGCGCACUGGCUCACCGUCUACCUCGCCUACCAGAACGGGUCGCUGUACAACACGUUCAAGAUGUGGGUGCGCGCAAUGAACGGCCGCAUCGAGAGCACGCGCCAGUGCUGCGUCUGCUACUACAGGCUGCACCCCACCACCGGCCGCCUGCCCGCCGCGCUCUGCCCCCGGUGCCGCAACAAGUUCCACGGCGUCUGCCUCCGCAAGUGGUUCAAGACGCACGGCGCGCCCACGUGUCCGCUCUGCCGCAGCGAGUUCUAGGCGCCGGGAGUCGCCGGGAGUCGCCGACGACCACACACACGCGCUGUUUGCUCGCUUUAUGACAACUACAGAUGUUCAAUUUAUUUGUAAUAUUUGUACAGUAAUCGCUAAUUUUAAAUCAUAAUAUGAAUAUUGAAAGAAUUGGGUCGUUUAUAACAUUGAAAAUAAAUAAAAAUUUGUAAGAGUAA